AGCUGUACGGGGUCUCCUGGGUACCCCCACUUCACUCCUGACCCUCCUCUAAGAAUCUCCAUGCAGUGGAAAGAGGCUGCAAGAAGGGCAAACUGAGGGCCUGCCUUUCCCUGCCUGCAUGAGCCUCCAGCAGGCUGUGUCAACCCUGGCAAAGUUACUUGCUUGCUGCUGGUCGGAUGCCCUGGACAUGGAAGGUAUUAGUCCUACCUGCCUCUCUGGAUGCCUGCAAAGCCCGGAGAACUAAAACGAGUGAAAAUGAAAAUCUGCAACCCGCCAAA
Long non-coding RNA from Mustela erminea (ermine), 278 nucleotides. RefSeq lists it as uncharacterized. Lineage: Eukaryota; Metazoa; Chordata; Mammalia; Carnivora; Mustelidae. The record is from RefSeq and is a predicted model, not a curated record. The transcript is spliced from 3 exons.